AGAAAAAUAAAUAAAGAUUUCUAAUCUCCAAAUAGCUAAAAUGCUUUUUUCUU
Molecule: transfer RNA, 53 nt
Filed under: Caprella acanthogaster
Lineage: Eukaryota; Metazoa; Arthropoda; Malacostraca; Amphipoda; Caprellidae
Description: tRNA-Ser
Source: RNAcentral